UACGGAGGGGGCUAGCGUUGUUCGGAAUUACUGGGCGUAAAGCGCACGUAGGCGGCUUUGUAAGUUAGAGGUGAAAGCCCGGGGCUCAACUCCGGAAUUGCCUUUAAGACUGCAUCGCUAGAAUUGUGGAGAGGUAAGUGGAAUUCCGAGUGUAGAGGUGAAAUUCGUAGAUAUUCGCAAGAACACCAGUGGCGAAGGCGGCUCACUGGCCCGAUACUGACGCUGAGGAGCGAAAGCGUGGGGAGCGAACAGG
This 253-nucleotide ribosomal RNA is filed under the name uncultured bacterium. RNAcentral's name for it is "partial 16S ribosomal RNA". It matches the Rfam family "Bacterial small subunit ribosomal RNA", at positions 524 to 776 of the family's 1533-position model. The record is from RNAcentral.